This 430-nucleotide ribosomal RNA is filed under the name uncultured bacterium. Its description in RNAcentral is "bacterial SSU rRNA". It matches the Rfam family "Bacterial small subunit ribosomal RNA", at positions 917 to 1345 of the family's 1533-position model. The record is from RNAcentral.
GGACCCGCACAAGCAGUGGAGCAUGUGGUUUAAUUCGAAGAUACGCGCAGAACCUUACCAACACUUGACAUGUUCGUCGCGAGACUAAGAGAUUAGUCUUUUCAGUUCGGCUGGACGAAACACAGGUGCUGCAUGGCUGUCGUCAGCUCGUGUCGUGAGAUGUUGGGUUAAGUCCCGCAACGAGCGCAACCCCCACUUUUAGUUGCCACCAUUUAGUUGGGCACUUUAAAAGAACUGCCAGUGAUAAGCUGGAGGAAGGUGGGGAUGACGUCAAGUCCUCAUGGCCCUUAUGUGUUGGGCUACACACGUGCUACAAUGGUACUUACAAUGGGAAGCAAAGAUGCAAGUCCUAGCCAAUCCCUAAAAUGUACCUCAGUUCGGAUUGUACUCUGUAACUCGAGUGCAUGAAGCUGGAAUUGCUAGUAAUCGC